This 319-nucleotide long non-coding RNA is filed under the name Solanum tuberosum (potato). RNAcentral describes it as "long non-coding RNA (STUB_LNC003523)". Lineage: Eukaryota; Viridiplantae; Streptophyta; Magnoliopsida; Solanales; Solanaceae. The record is from RNAcentral.
UCAUAAGGAAUACUGCAGGAGAACCUGAGGUUCUAACAAGGUUGGAGGCAGGACCUGAUCCGCAAAAUAUAACCGAAUAUGAGAGUUAAGUGACUGUAGGCACAUUUUGCAUGAAAAAACCAACUUUGUUUUUACUAUUACUUCACAUUUCUAUGUAACAUAACAUAAAUAAUACAUUGGCAAUAUCUCGCAUAUAAAAAAUUUCUCACUGCUUAACACCCCACAUCGAUGAGCAACGAACAUGAGCUCACCCCAUUGUGGAAAGAAUUGGUAAAAACUUGCCAUGGUUUUGUGAAUGAAAAGAAGUGGUUGUCAGAGU